CUGGGCUCUCUGUAUUUGUAAAUACGGUGGACUAACCAAUGCUUAUGGACCAUCUGGCAACUGGUGAUUGGUUGAAAUUGAGGGGAUAUACGGACGUAUAACGUUCAACGGUGUAGUAGUUGAGGCGGAUACUUUGCACGGGUUCCCAUGUACAUUCCCUUUCCCUAUUGAGCAUUUCUGUCCGGACCGUCCACGAAGUCAGUUCAAGUGCAAGUGGUGAGAAAGAACACGUGACGCCUAGGAGAGUCAGCCAUUACGUCAACAGAUUGGCUAACCCGGUACGACGUUCAACUUGCACCGGUUGAAUUAGGCGUUAGAGAGUUAGUUCGGAUUGAGUCAGCACCCACAGUUUGCCGUGGGCCAAAAUCUAGGGUCCCAAAAACCCUCCAGGAAGGAACCGUCGCGCGCCUUCGACUUCGCGCACCCUCCCGGAAGUCGCUACGGUCCGUGGACACCUGUAAACGCCCCUCCGUCAUCCUGGGCGUGGCCAAACGUGAGUGACUGGACUGUGGAACAGUUCAUCCGCGAACCCCUCGACACGAACCCCUUUGCCGCAUUAGGGGUCUGAAACUGUUCGACGAGUUGCAUGCAACGUGGAAAUCAUCGCACGUCACAUCCGCGUCGCCAUUAUCAGCGAGUGAGCGGCACGGCGGCGCGAGCCGAGACACUUACCACUGGCAGCAUUGGUGAGCACGCGUGGAUUACGCACAGUGGACGCAGAGCGGUGUGUUGUGGUCAAAAAUUCGAGUGAAGACACGUGACAAAGUGCUCAUCGGGCGUUCGCCCAGAACGAACCGCGCGGCCUGCGAGCAAGAUCCCCGGAACCGCACCUCGUCGCCCGACCAUCCUCGUACUUCCUGGUACGGCCAAUCGAUCCGCCCCGUGCGCGGGACGCUGGUGUUUUAAGGCGCCGACCACGCGACCAGCUCAAGCGAAGGCGAUCGGCAUAAGCCACGUGCGGCUUCCGCACCUGGUCCGGUGAAGCAUUUCUAUCGGUGGCUCGUCCAGCUUGGACCGCAUUCGAUCCAACCCGCCAGCGAGGUCCGCUCGGGUUCCUGCAAGUGGUGCGUGUACGCAUAACGCGAACAACGCGAUCGUCGCCCGGUAGAAUCAACAGUUCCUGAAGACACGUGCGGCCUCCAAAACCUCCAUCAACAGCACGUGAGCCAGCCGAACCUCCCGCAGCACUCGCCGAACAAGGCGUGAAGGUCAGAUUAGUAUUAAGAGGUAGUCUGUAGGAAAAGAGCAAGAGCAAAUUAGAACGUUGACGUCAACAAAGAUCUUGGUACCGAGGGUAGUCGCUCGUCAGAACUCAGGUAGAAUCAUUCACCUGUAAUGGAACCUUAAUAAAACUUUGCUCAAUGGAGGUUGACGGUCCGUUCAUUAA
Molecule: long non-coding RNA, 1387 nt
Organism: Culex quinquefasciatus (southern house mosquito)
Lineage: Eukaryota; Metazoa; Arthropoda; Insecta; Diptera; Culicidae
Exons: 3
Source: RefSeq, a predicted model, not a curated record